AUUGAACGCUGGCGGCAGGCCUAACACAUGCAAGUCGAACGAGCGGCGGACGGGUGAGUAAUGUAUGGGAAACUGCCCGAUGGAGGGGGAUAACUACUGGAAACGGUGGCUAAUACCGCAUACCAUCGGAUGUGCCCAGAUGGGAUUAGCUAGUAGGUGGGGUAACGGCUCACCUAGGCGACGAUCCCUAGCGGGUCUGAGAGGAUGACCAGCCACACUGGAACUGAGACACGGCCCAGACUCCUACGGGAGGCAGCAGUGGGGAAUAUUGCACAAUGGGCGCAAGCCUUAUGCAGCCAUGCCGCGUGUAUGAAGAAGGCCUUAGGGUUGUAAAGUACUUUCAGCGGGGAGGCGUUACCCGCAGAAGAAGCACCGGCUAACUCCGUGCCAGCAGCCGCGGUAAUUC
RNAcentral lists this ribosomal RNA (406 nucleotides) under uncultured bacterium. RNAcentral describes it as "partial 16S ribosomal RNA". It matches the Rfam family "Bacterial small subunit ribosomal RNA", at positions 30 to 526 of the family's 1533-position model. The record is from RNAcentral.